Molecule: non-coding RNA, 978 nt
Organism: Peromyscus maniculatus bairdii (prairie deer mouse)
Lineage: Eukaryota; Metazoa; Chordata; Mammalia; Rodentia; Cricetidae
Source: RefSeq, a predicted model, not a curated record
ACGGGGAGACCAAGGGGACUUGGAAAUCCUCAAUCAUUUGUCUGCAAUCUAAAACAGCUCAAGGAAAUAAAACCAUUAAUUACGUGUAUAAAAGGAAACUGCAAAGAGGCAUCAGGGUCUGGCACGGCUCCCAUCGCUGUUGGAGGGAACAAGGCUUGGGGAUCUACCCGUCCCUGGAGUCGCAGAUAGAGAAACAGGUCAUGAGGCCAGCUCCCCUGAUGAGCUGAUCAAUUGCUCAUCACCAUCCGUGGAGAUUCUUAAUUCAAGUGUGGCAUCUCAAUCAACAUCGCUGCCCUUCCCCAGCCAUCGAUGAACGGCUUGUGGACAAAUGAGCCCUUUGACUAGCCCCUGGCCUCCACGGGGCUGUGUUGCCUACCUGGGCUCCAUGCGCCUUCUGGUGGCCAUGGGGUGAAACACAGCCUAGAAAGCUUGGGCAGAGUGGAAGGACUAUAUGGCUAGUCUGGAGGGCCAGAGAUCAGAGGCCUCAUUCACCCUCCUCCGCUCCUUCUCUUUCUGGAAAAGGCUGGCACAGCUAACAGGUGAGGAGACUCCCUGGCUCCCUCAUCCCUCCCUACCUCAACUGCCCCUGGGCUCUAGGCCAACACUGCAGGACCCAAGACCCCUGGCAGUUUCUUGAGUGCACUCACUGCUUAUCCACAUUGGCUUCUGGACGAUCUGGUCAUCCGGUGACGGUCUCUCUCAUCGUAUUGGCUGCCUGGGCUAGGCAUGGCAGGUACCUGUGAGUGUGUGGACACUGACCACUGACCCCAACUUCUCUGUCUUCUGUCCUCCGCCUGGGGCAGUGACACCUGAGCUGUGAGGGUUCCACAGUGUGUGUGUGUGUGUGUGUGUGUGUGUGUGUGUGUGUGUGUGUGUGUGCCGGGGUGACCCUGCUACCAGCUCCCUUCUCUCCUUCCUCAGUUCCCAGCAGAGACCAGUAGACCCAAGGUCAGCGGUCUUCAUAUUGACAGCGUCUGU